GGGAGUAUAGCAUAAUGGUUAUGGAGCUGGACUUGCAACUCAGAGGCUGCAGGUUCAAAUCCUACUACCACUG
Molecule: non-coding RNA, 73 nt
Organism: Albula goreensis
Lineage: Eukaryota; Metazoa; Chordata; Actinopteri; Albuliformes; Albulidae
Source: the annotation of a GenBank genome assembly